GAGAACUAGUCAAGGUAUGCUUGCAGAACCUGCUGUACCUUCGGCUGCUGCUAGAGUUCCUUGUGGGCCAAGGUCGCCUCUCUAUUAUAGAAAUAAUUAUUCUUACAUGAUGAAACAUGGAUUUCCAAAAUACCACUCUUCCAUUAUGGAAAGAAACCUGUUGGGGCCUUCAAGAAUCAUGAACCCGCAUGCACCUGAGUUUGUGCCAAUGAGAGGUUGGCAAAUAAAUCCUGGAUAUGCAGAUUCAAAUGUUUCAAAUGAGUCGAACUCUUCAAAUGACACAAGUGAGGCAGACGAUGAGAAACUUGACAAAAUGUCCAGUAUUCAAGGCGAGGAUAAUACCUCAAGAAAGAGCAGUACAGAGGCGGAGAAGUCAGAGCUGGCAAGACAGAUACUACUUAGCUUCAUUGUAAAGUCAGUCCAGCAUAAUAUGGAUGCUCCAAGUCAUUCUUCAGGCUACGAAAAGAAGAUUGGGUAUUCUGAAAAUUCUUCAGAUGCAAUUGCAAAUGAUAAAUUGUUAGUUAACAGAUUGCAAAUGAUCCUUUAUGGAAAUGAAAAGGGCAAAACAAACUUGGCAUCUCAGUCCAAUGAUCAAGAACAGCAAAAACCGAAAGAUGAAAACCAAAAAAGUGGGGAUGGUGAAGGAUUUAUAGUUGUCAGAAAACGGAGAAGAAACCGACAGCAGAUCACAAAUGGGGUAACUGAGAUGUACAAUCAUCAAUCCAUCUGUGCUUCUGUUCGUUAAAAGAGAGAGCAAAGCAAUAAAAUGCAAAGGUGCCGUCCUGUUUCUCCCAAUUUUAUUCGAAAAAUUUGUCAGUGAAUGUUACCGUUGUAGAAAUGGUUAAAGUUUGGAGCAAGUUUUAAUCAAUACUUGAUUGUAUCAUUUUAGACAUCCUCUCUGGAUGUUCUAAUAUAAUAUUUGUACAAAUUGGUUUCUUGUUUUGUUAAGAGAUUUUGUUUUGAUCAAUAAAUGAUGAUAAAUUAAUUGGGCGAUUUUCCUCAUCAAGAGAUCUGUGAUGUUGUUCUAUAAUGGAUCUUAAUGUUUUAGACUGAGAUUUGUAGUUAUGCCUCAAAUUAUUUGGUAUUUGGUUGGUGCGUGUGAACAAUACGUUCGGAAUGGAGUUGAAUUGGGUUAUCUUAUAUCAAAUGUCUGAAAUUUAAUUUUCUUACAUUUGCAGCUGAAGUUGCUGCACUGAUGAUAUUACAACUAACAUAGUAUUUGGCAAAAUUCCUCAUUCAAUUUAAAUUUGCAAUCAACAGAAACUGAAGAACAAGCCGUAAGUCUAAUCCUAAUGGAUGCAUAGCUGUUUGGAGAAAAGCCAACGGAGACAUAACACAGCACGAUAAGUUAUACACGGCAGAACCGUAUGUGCUAGUAAGCACAGUCACCAAUGGAAAACAUAUUUGAAAAGCCAAUAGUAGCAUGUGUCAAUACAUCUAUCAAUGAAAUAGAACCACAGUCUGCGCCAGUACGAGUUUAUCCAAAGUGCUGCAAAGAAGCCCAAAAUCACCGACACAUAGGAUGCUCCAAAACUCCAUCUUAAUGCCACCAUAUCAAUCACAGAAUCGCCUUCAUCUUCUCCUCCUCCUGUAGGUGUCGCUGGUGGUGCCAACGCACUGCUGCAUUUCCUCUUUAUCAUUGAGCCACAAAGAGCCGAAUUACCUUUAUAACUGCUGUCAUCAAACGUGCCAAACUGCUCUUUGUCUGGGAUUGGGCCGGACAAAUUGUUGUAUGACACGUUGAAGUUUGAUAAAAAGUUGAGGUCAGUUAGUUGAAGAGGAAUUCGGCCACUUAAUUUGUUGCGGGAAAGGUCCAGGCUCUCUAUCAUUUUCAGAUUGGAGAAGCUCUCUGGUAUAGCACCUGAUAGUAAAUUAUUGGACAGAUUAAGUGCACGAAUAUGUUGAAGAUGCCCAAUUUCCCAUGGAAUUUCUCCACUGAACUCAUUGCUCGAAAAAUCCAAUCCAGCCAUGUCGACGAGAUUGAGACCGAUGAAAAAUUCAUAUCUAUACUUUGUCACAAAUUCUACACCUACUUGUUGAUCUACUCUACUAUGUAGUUCACCUUGCGGCUGCUGAUCAAGAGUGGAAUUGUAGUAAGUAGAAGCGGAAUCAUGAUUAGACACACCAAAUCCAGAUCCAUAUGAAUAAUCAACAAUCACUUCUCCCCAGAAUGACAGGUUACCCAGGCAUGAAGGUAUCGGCCCAUUAAGUCUGUUAUGUGAAAGAUCCAUGAUACCUAAUUUUCUUAAUUGGCACAACUGAUUAGGAAUACGUCCUUGUAGAUAAUUCCCUCUCAAAAGAAGAACAUGCAAAUUCGAAAGCUCAUUGAUCUGAUGAGGAAUCCUACCAAAAAGUUUAUUGUCCCUCAAAUCUAGAGUCAAUAAUGUAGAGCUUCGAAGCAAUGCAAUUGGAAUUAACCCAUUAAUUGCAUUGUUAUGCAGAUAAAUGUGCCCCACUGAUGAAAGAUUGGAGAGAGAUACCAUGGACCCAGACAAACUAUUUUCGGAUAUGUCUAUAAACUCAAGACUUUCAAGAUUGCCGAGCUGGACCGGAAUACUACCUUGCAAAUAAUUUUCUGACAUUAAAAGAAGCCAAAGGUGUGAGAAGUUGCCAAUCCAGUGGGGAAUAUCGCCGGAUAACUUGUUGUUGGAUACAUCUAAUACCCCCAGCAAAGGGGAGCUCAACAAACCAUCUGUCAUCUUCCCACUGAAAUGAUUGUUGUCCAAACGUAAGGAACGCAAAUGAGUCAAGUUCAUAUAAUUGGGAAAAAGUUGGCCAUAGAAAUUGUUAUUUGAUAGGUCCAACAUAUCUAAGGGGAGGCAACUAGAGAAUAUAGAUCGAGUUAAUUCUCCUGAAAAAUUAUUUCCAGACAAAUCCAAAGUAAUUAGCUCUUUCAUCUCACUGAUUGAAUAAGGAAUAUUACCUUCAAAACUAUUUUUUGACAUAUCCAAAUAUAUCAAUUUCUGAAAGACAAUACCCAAAUUCUCUGGUAGCUUACCAGAGAAAUUGUUAGUGGAAAUAUCUAGAUAACGAAGCUUAUCGUAUUUGGCAUUGGGAAGUCGCGGAAGAAUUCCUGAGAAUGAGUUAUUCCACAAAAUCAAAACUUCUAAUCCUGUGUUGUUUUGCAACAACCAAGUUGGGAAAUUGCCAACCAACUGAUUGUGAGAGAGAUCAAGGAAUUUUAAGUUGGAUUGGUGUAAAAGAAAACUGGGAUUGACAUUUAAGCGGCAGUGAGGUAAUUGGAGAACCUUGAGAGGAUAUGUGGGGAGCCAGUUUUCGGUUUUCACUUGCAACAUAUCGUUUUGUGGCGAGAGUAGCAAGACCUCAAGCUUUGAAUGAUUAGCCAAUGAAUUUAUUGAGAAUGUUCCUUGGAAAUCGAUGAAAGAGAGAUCCAAAUAUUCAAGUGAUGUGAGGUUGGUCAAGGCAGAAGGAAAUUUUCCACUUAACUGAUUGUAAGAAAUAUCAAGAACUUUGAGAUGGGUCAAGUUGUUGAGACACUGAGGAAGGUGAACCACAAAAUUAUUUAACCUUAAAUCCAACUCAAGAAGAUUCUUCAAAUUACAUAUUCCUGAAAGUGAAAAUAAAAAGCUCAGAUGUCAUAAAACGAAAACUAAUUAUAGCGCAUUCAAUCAUAAACCCAAUAUAAGACUUAUAAAACAGUCAUGAAAUCAAAUUGUCUAAGUAUUUUGGUCAACAUAAAUAAUAAUAGAAUGAUAUGAAUUUAUUUCUCAUAUAAUAUGAUGUUGAUUGCAAAAGCGUUUCAAUUAAUCUAACAAUAAAAUAAUAAUAAUAAUAAUAUAAAAGCAGUCAGCAAUUCUUGCUCAUCAUAAUCCAUUCAAAAAGCAUUUCAGCAAUUCUCGUUGUUUAAAAUAAUGAUUUUCUGCGGAAGAGUUUGUUGACUUCGUCUUUUUCGUUGGAUAUUGGUUCUCUAAUCUCUAAAUUUGUUGGAUAAUGUAAAGAGAAACUCAUAAUAUAUUAGUUGCUUUCUUAAACUUUAUUUAUUCUUCUCAUAGCAUUAAAAAAAUAUAUAUAUUUGCCCAAGCGGAAAAAAAAAAAAAAGCUGGUCUUCAUAUUUAAUUUGACCAACAAGUCACUGGGAAGUAGGAAUUGUGUAUCAGUAAUGCAAAUAUUGGGUGCGUUGGCAUUGUUUUUAUAUGCUUUUUUUUUUUAUUUUUUGAAUUUAGAAAACAUUAGAUACGUGUUCGGUAGAUUGUUUCUGAAAAUAUUUUUAAAAAUAUAAAAUUCAUUCUACACAUUUUAACAAAAGAAAUGAGAAACAAUUUUUUCUUAUUUUCCUUAUUUCCCAAUACAAUAUUAAGUUCCAAAAUGAAGAAUUCUCUGUACCUCCUCCUGAAAUAAUAAUAAUAUCAACAUUAUUAUUAUUAUUAUUAUCAUUAGGUCUAAUUAUCCCUAGGUGACAGAUGUUUUAAUAAAUUUCAAAAAAAUGACACAUGUUUUGAAAACACUCGAGUGGGUGACAUUCCAUUAACUUUUGUUGUUAAUUUUAACCAGUCGAGGGUAGAGUUGAAAAAAUAAUUUUUUUUUUCAUAAAGCCAAAGAGAUGAAAAUAUUGAAUUUAUACAGUACUUUAUAAUUCAUAAGAUUUUUGCUUCUUUAUAUUCACAAAUCAGUUUGAUCAACAAGAAUUUUUUAAAAUUUAUUUGAUUUAACAAAAAAAACCUGGUAAUUAGACUUAUGUUUAUUUUUUUAUAUUUUAUAUUUAAAAAAUUAAAAAUGAGUGAGUAUGGGCAGAAACAUCAUUUUGUGGGGUAGAAAAGUCAUUUAAUUUACUAUUCUCAUUAAAAUUAAUGACAAAAGUUAAUAGAAUGUCACUCGCUCAAAUAUUUUUAAAAAAUGUCAUCUUCUUAAAAUUUGUUAAAACAUAUGUCACCUAGAGAUUAUUGUUGUUGUUGUUGUUGUUGUUGUUGUUGUUGUUGUACCCAAAGAAUCAUUUUCCUUCACAAAAAUCUUUUCUUUUUAUAUACAUUAUAAUAUUUAUGUUUUUAUAUAUUAACUAAAUCAAAUAUGUAGGGUUUAUCAUUUUUCUUUGAACAAAAAAAUAGAAAGAUCACCUAAUUUAUUCUUAAAAUUAAAAUAAUCAAUAUACAUUGCUUAAUCUUAAGUUUAUGGAAAUUAUUCCAAUAAUAAUUCUUUGAGAUAUUCUUACCAAACAUAUUUAUGUUUUUCUCAUUUUUCAGAUUAUUUUUUAAAAUGAUACGGAACACAUUUUUAAAUUUUAAAAAUAAAUUUAAAAAUAGCAUUUUCAUUUUUAUUUUGUAAAAACAACAAUUAGAAAACAAUAUUGGGCUAUUAUUUAUCAUGUUUCAACAUAAAAACACAGUGUAAAUUGUUUAAUAUGGGUUUCUAGAGAAUUUUUUAUGUUACUAUUACUCAAAUUCAAUGCUUCCAAGCUUUUGAAUUUAGCUAAUCUUGCAUCAAGAAUUAAUGAACAUAAGAAAAAAAACAUUUCAUUCAGAACUAUAAAUAUUGAAAUAAAGAUAAAUAUCAUUGUUGAUUUUUUUAUAAAAAUGAUUUAGAAUUAAGAGAGAGUGAGAGAAAUGAGCGGGUUAUUUCGGAAAUUGGUGAUAGAGUAUAUCAAGUACUAAACUUUGUAUAGAAAGCAGUGCUUCUAAUUUAAAUUUGAUCUAGUUUAAAGCAAUUAAAAAAUGGAAAUAUAUUAUCAUCUUGAUUAACAUCUAAAACAAUUUUUGUCAUUGGAGGAAGUGAAUUGUUAUAUACCUUGAAUUGUAGUUAUCCCACAAGAGCCAAGAUCCAAUGUUUUCAAGUUUGGCAAAUCUGCGAAUCCUACAUGCGCCGAUAAAAAAUGAAAAUAUUACAUUUAAAGGCAUUGUAUGUGAUCCGCGCGUUUGAUGAACAUUAAUUCUACAUUUAAUUUGCUUCUUAUCUCAGAUUCAGUGGCCUACCUAGCAUUGUCAGAUUUUGAUUAUCGCUUAAAUCCAACACUUGUAGGUUUGUCAAAUUUGCUAAUCCUGUUAAAAAAGGUAAAUUUUGUCAAUAACAGUUAUGUCACUCUCGUCUAAAUUGUUUAAUUAAAAUAAUAUGGUAAAUAUUGAAUGAAAAUUAACUGUGCACAUUGUUAUUUUUUUGUUUAUAUUGAUAUUUUAAUAUAUACCGUCACUUUUAGCAUUACCAAGAUUUGGAGUGUUUGAAUCAUAAUUUGUAAAUUAGUUAGCACUUUGAGUAAACUUGAAAAUGUGAAAAAAGAAAUUAAAAAAUGCAAAUAUAUUAUCAUCUUGAUUAACAUCUAAAACAAUUUUUGUCAUUGGAGGAAGUGAAUUGUUAUAUACCUUGAAUUGUAGUUAUCCCACAAUAACCAAGAUCCAAUGUUUUCAAGUUUGGCAAAUCUACGAAUCCUACAUGCGCGGUAAAUUUUGUCAAUAACAGUUAUGUCACUCUCGUCUAAAUUGUUUAAUUAAAAUAAUAUGGUAAAUAUUGAAUGAAAAUUAACUGUGCACAUUGUUAUUUUUUUGUUUAUAUUGAUAUUUUAAUAUAUACCGUCACUUUUAGCAUUACCAAGAUUUGGAGUGUUUGAAUCAUAAUUUGUAAAUUAGUUAGCACUUUGAGUAAACUUGAAAAUGUGAAAAAAGAAAUUAAAAAAUGCAAAUAUAUUAUCAUCUUGAUUAACAUCUAAAACAAUUUUUAUCAUUGGAGGAAGUGAAUUGUUAUAUACCUUGAAUUGUAGUUAUCCCACAAGAACCAAGAUCCAAUGUUUUCAAGUUUGGCAAAUCUGCGAAUCCUACAUGUGCCGAUAAAAAUGAAAAUAUUACAUUUAAAGGCAUUGUAUGUGAUCCGCGUGUUUGAUGAACAUUAAUUCUACAUUUAAUUUGCUUCUUAUCUCAGAUUCAGUGGCCUACCUAGCAUUGUCAGAUUUUGAUUAUCGCUUAAAUCCAACACUUGUAGGUUUGUCAAAUUUGCUAAUCCUGUUAAAAAAAGGUAAAUUUGUAGUUAUGUCACUCUUGUCUAAAUUGUUUAAUUAAAAUAAUAUGAUAAAUAUUGAAUGAAAAUUAACUGAGCAAAUUGUUUAAUUAAAAAAAUUACCUUCUAAAGAACUGUGUAUAUAAUAAUUAGAACUCAAAUCCAACGCUUCCAAGUUUUUUAAUUUUGCUAAUCUAGCGCCAAGAAAGAAGAAAAAUCUUAGUAAUCAUCUUUGGGAAAAAAAUAAAGAAUUAAGAAAUUAGAUUAAAUAAUUGUAGUAAUAAAGCUUAUGAUUCAGAUCUAAUUAAAUUGAUCAUAUACUCAAAAAUGAUUUUAUUUNNNNNNNNNNNNNNNNNNNNNNNNNNNNNNNNNNNNNNNNNNNNNNNNNNNNNNNNNNNNNNNNNNNNNNNNAUUAAGAAACAAAUUUCAAAGUUAGAUUAAAUAAUUGUAGUAAUAAAGCUUAUGAUUAAGAUCUAAUUAAAUUGAUCAUAUACUCAAAAAUGAUUUUAUUUAUUUAUUUAUUUUUUUAAAUUUUACUAAGACAUUAGAAAGUAAAUUUUGCCGUGUACAUAUUGUAGUCAAGUUUAUCAAGUUUUCCAGUCAAAAAUUGGUUUUAAUUUGACAUUAUACAUAUGUAAAAAUUAAGAGCAUAAUAAUAUCACAAGGAAUUUGGGUAGUGACUUGUUGCCGUGUACCUUGAAUUGUAGUUAUUCCACAACUACCAAGAUCCAAUUUUUUCAGGUUUGUCAAAUUUGCCAAUCCUACACCAACGAAAAGCAAAAUAUUACUUUUAAAAUUAUUGUAGAAGGUUGUGAUUAGUGUGCUAACUUGGUAAUUAUCUCAGUAGCCUACCUAGCCUUGUUAAAGAGCCACUAGUUAUAUUGAAGUUCAAGCUUAGAUCCGACACUUGCAAGUAUCUCAAAUUUACUAAUCUUGCUCAGAAAACAUUAAUUUUGAUCAAGACAAUAUAAAUAUAUAUUUUAAUUAAGAAAUUAAUUAAGUUGCCUGACAUGUAUAUCUGCUGGCCUGAAACGUAUAUGUAUACCUUGCUUGGUUCUGGAACCUUCAAUCUUAUUGUAACUAAGAUUCAGAGUGGUAAGUGAAGUUAGUGUAUUCAAAUAUGGUAAUAUGCUGUCGUUGACGUAAUUAAAACCAAGAUUUAACAUCUUCAGCUGCUUCAAACUCCCAAAGCUAUCGUAAGCUGCAAAUGCAUAUGAAGUGUUAUUAUUAAUUAGUCACUGACAAAAUAUUUAUGGAUGCGAAAUAAAUGUAUACAUAUAUACGGACCUCUAUUCUCAUAGAUGCCUGUAAACCAAUUCUCGGAUAAGUCAAGGCUUUGCAAUUCUUCAAAAGGAUGAAACAAUGACAUAUUCAUAAACGAAGCCGAAGUUCUAUCAUAAUAUUUCAAUCUCCUUGUAUAAUUGAGUGAGAGUUGCAUCACGCGUCUUGUGGUGGCGUUGCACAUAACUCCCUCCCAAGCAUCACAACAAUCAGACGGCAUGCCAUCAUCCUCACCAACCCAUGAAGGAAGAAUUUUGUCAUCAUAGCCAACAUCACUGACUGAUAUGAAGAAGCUCUUGAUUGCCAACAGAGCAGUCCUCUCUGUUUCCAAGCAUGCUUUGUAUCCCUGCAUUUCAUUCAUCAAUACAAUAAUCCAAAUUAGUGACAUUAAUGAGAACUUAAUACAGGAAGUAGUUUCCAUUGCUGAGCAACUUUUCAUUUGGUUAAAAUUAAAUGUGCAAUGAGCAACUUUCCAUUGCAGAGCAAUUUAUACUAAAAGUUUAUCGCAGGUCUUGCAAUUUGAUUGGCUGAAGACUUUUUUAAGACUUUCCAAUACAUCGCCAUCUUUGAAGACUUGUAAGCAUUCCAUGUUUUGCAACAUUCGACCAAUUUUGUCAUCAUAUCCAACAUCACUGAUAAAGUGAUUGAAAUGACAAAACACAUAAAUGUUAUUUGAAGCUCAUGCAUUCGGAUAAGGAAAGUUUCCAUUGCUCCAGUCUACACUCUUCACUACUAUUACAAUCACUUGAAAUGACAAAAAUAGAAAUUUCGUAUGAACUUGGGACCGAUGUACGGGUGCAAUUUAAAUGACCCUAGCUAAUUUUGCAUAUAUUAUUGCAACUACGUGGAAAAUUAAAGUUGACUGACUUUCAAAUUAAGCCAACAAACAAGUGGCUAUCAACUCUUUUCCCUCUAUGAUUGUUUUUUUUUUUUUUUUUUAAAUUGAAUUGUAUGAUUGGGUUUGCAUUGAAUUAUCCAACAAUCUAUUCAAGCAUUGAUAUUUGAUAUUCUCAAAUAUUUAAUGGGUUUUGAAAAUUAUUUACUAGAUUUUUGAUAAAUUGAUUUUUAUUAUUUCAUGAUCAAUAAUUAAUCAAGUAAUUUUCUAUAUAUAUAUAUUUGGUAAUUUACUCAUAAAAAGUGUGGAUCACAUUGAAAUGUUAUUUUAUAUGAUGCAUGACAUACGGAGAGGUGCAGUUUAAAUGCGCAAAUAAUUUAUUAAUUAUAACAUGCAAUCAUUGAGUUAAAGCGCAAGCGUGAGUUUGGAUUUGAAAUAUUCAAAUAAUUUAUUUCAUUAUUGAUUCUUAAAUAACAUGCUUUGGAAUUAAUAGUUCGAUAGGAUGUUUGAUAUAUUAAAAUUUGUGAUAAUCAAUAAUCAACUAAUUUUCAUUCAUAUUUAAAGAUUUUAAUAAAUUACUCAUAAAAUUGUGGCGUAUAUUGAAAUGACAAUCAAUCUUGAUAUUGACUGACAAUCAAUUUUUAUAGUGAUUGGCACUUAAGACAAUCAGUUUUGGUCUCCGUAAUGACUAAUGAAGAAUUGUAAGCCUGAAAUUCCACAUGUUGCAAUGUUGGACCAAUGAGGGAAAUGCUUCAUUAACAUUACAUGGAAAAUAAAUGUUGACUGACUUUCAAAUUAGACCAACAUACAAGUAGUCGUCAAUUCUAUUUUUUCCAACAGUUGAUAAAGAUGGCUAGUUAAGAAAAAAAAAGUUGAUUGAGAUAAUUUAAAGAAUUUAAGCGUAAGUUUGGGUUUGAAAUUAUCAAAUAAUUUAUUCCAGCAUUGAUUCUUAAAUAAUGUACUUUGGAAUUAAUAACUCGAUAGGAUGUUUGACAUAUUGAAAUUUGUGAAAAUCAAUAAUCAAUUAUUUUUCAUACAUGUUUAGACAUUUUAAUAAAUUACUCAUAAAUUUGUGGUGUACACCGAAAUAAUAAGUUAUUAUAAAUUUGUGGUGUACUCUUGAGUCCCUUUGUAUCCUUGCAUUAAUUUGAAUCAAAGCUCGAAUUAAAAUCAAAGACCCAUAUUGAGAAUUUAUAUAAAUAACUUAAGAGUAUGAUUGGGUUUACAUUGACUUAUAUAUAUCAAACAAUAUAUUCAAGGGCUGAUAUUCUCAAAAAAAAGAAAAAAAAAAAGACAAUCAAUCUUUGCGUCAACUGAUAUUAUUGAUUGGUAAUAAAUCUUAGUAGUGAUUGACAAAGCUUGGGAAAAUCACUCUCGGUGAUUAAUAGUCUUCGUCCUCAUCUUUGUUUUGAUCGUUGUGAUAGAGGAUGAGUGGUGCGUAAGAGAGGGUUCAUCGCUUGCGGAAUUUUCGCGGCCAUUCAAGAAUCAGGAUGGUUGUUGUAGAAUUCCACGAGAAUUGGCCGUGCAAUUAGGGAAAGUUCAAUAUUAAUUUAUACUAAAAGUUUAUCAUAGGCCAAUCACGGUGACCACCAAAACCUAUGAAUGAUUAGUCCAUCGAAACCCAAUGUAUGCUCAAUUAAUAUUUCCUAUCAAGAUCAAAAUUUUCACUCUAUUGCUUCACCAAUCAUGCGCAUAAAAGCUCGAUUUAUACAAAACUUACGAAUUUAUGAAAAAAAAAGUCACAAUUAUUAUAAUUGGAAGUUUGAUUGAUUUUUAAAGAUUGAUUCAAUCAAUCUUAAUGUUACUGGACAAUCGAUCUUAAUAUUAAUUCAAAAUCAAUCUUUAUAGCAAUUGACACAGAUAAAGAUAAUUAGUUUUGGUCUCUAUAAUGAUUGACGAAGACUUGUAGGACCUGCACCAAUGAGGAAAAAUGCUUCAUUAAUACUCCAUGGAAAAUAAAUGGUGACUGACUUUCAUAUAAUCGAUUGACGUAUAAUUAUAAUUAUAUAAUCAAACACGCACACUACAAGGCGACCUUCGAUUGACGUAUUCUGUCAACUAACCCAUGGGACAUGGAGUGCUAAAACCAUAAUGUACGCCAGUAUGAAUAAUAUCAUCAAUCAAACCAAAAAAAAAAAAAAUUGAUGAAUAAUAUAGUUCCAAGCAGUGCUAAAACCAUAAUGUACGCCAAUAUGAGUUUAUCCAAAGUCACCGGCUACACCAAUAUCAUAGUGACAUAGGAAGCGAUGAGGAAAUUUACGAAAGAUUUAUUAAAUGAUCAGAGACUUUCUGCAAUUUCAUUGACUUAUUCUACGAUAAUUAUAAUCAAACACGCACACUGCAAGGCGACCUUCGAUUGACGUACUCUGUCAACUAACCCAGGGACAUGGAGGAUGUGUGUUGACGUUAACCAAUAGCCAAGUUUAUAAACACAAUCAAGCAAUCGUAUCAUCAAUCAGAGCCACAUUCGACGCAUGACUAGUAAAUAUCAUAAUUGAGUUUGAGGACCACAGCCGCACGGUGAAAGAAUUUGAAUGGAGGAAAAGCAAAGGAAAAUGAAAAGGAAAAGAGGGGAAUGCUAAAGAAAAAUAAGCUGAUUCAUCAGUAACUCCAUAUGACAUUUUUUUUUUAAAAUAAGCAUACCGUGGGGGGUUAGGCGGGACCCCUACCUGUCAUUUAUAAAAGAUAAUGAAAGAUACAAGGAGGGGGACAAAAACCAAAACCUCCAAUCAAGAGAAAAAAAUACAACAGAAAAAUAAAAGAUUAAGGCAUAGCCUAACAUGAGAAUCAUAAUAAAAUGACUAAUGAAGACGGUGAUAAUAUGUCUUACGAUACUUACGGCCGGUAAGUAAUUUAAAUCCCUUUUUCGAUUGACCAACAAUGCUAAAAUCGGGACUUAAGUCUAUUCUCUCAGAAUUCUCAGGAGCAGAUAAAAAGUGUUCGUUAUUCGCCAGGUGCUCGUCAGAACUAUCAUCAUUAUCAGUAUGAGAAUUGUAAUGCCUAAAAUCUGUGCUGGAUGCUCGAUGAAGAUGUGGAUUAUACUCACCAAUGCUCCGCAGGGGAGACAAGCUUUGAUCACGAGGUUCCUUAGAAUCAUGAGUUGUGUCAUCUUGGGCAAUCGGCUCCUGAACGGAUGUAGAAUUUGUAACGUUAGGCCGGUUCUCCGAAGGUUUAGUGAUCGGGGACCCCGCGUCUACAAUCUGCUUAGUGAUGGAAAGCUCAGGUCGAGGAGUAUCUGAGGGUUGUGGAGUAUCUGACGGUAGAACUUCUGACUUCUUACCAUCUUCUACUCUGGUCUGCCGAUUCCCACUGGGUCGCUGGGGACGAAGCCUCGGAUUGGCCACGUAACACGUCUCAAUGGUAUGGCCAAGGUGCUUGCAGGAAGCACAAUAGAGUGGGAUUUUCUCAAAAAUUACAUUUUGCCAAAAUCCAGAAUCUCCCACCCCGAUUCGUAUCCUUGGCAAAGGAGGUUGGGUAACAACAUACUCCACUAAUACCCUAGCUACAGAAGGGCGAGCUAAAGAGGCAGUAGCUUGGUCAAUUCGCAAUGGCUUGCUAAUAGCUGAUGCAAUAGAAAAUAAUGCUUCCUUACAGUGCAUGAAGUGGACAGGCAAGUAAGGAAAUGAGAUCCAUACUGGAACUAUAGGGGACUCCUCAGAGCACCGAAAAUCGGUGGUCCAUUUAAAAAUUCUCAUGGCACUCCCAUUAAUGUGCCAUGUCUGCCUAACCCAUAGGCGGGAAUAGUCAUCCUCAACGUCCAAUUGAAUUAACACAUGUCGAUUAUCUAGUAAAGACACCUUAAAAGUUCCCUUCAAUCUCAAAGAAGUAAAAAAUUUACGAAUUAAUUCCAUACUAGUCUAUUAUAAGAAAAUUUACCAACCAAUGUCAACUUGAAGGGAAUGGCCAUCGCUUCAAUUUCCGCAACGGAGAAUUGCACGUUAGGCUCUCCCCCGAAAGAAGUAACGGUCUUGAUUGGAACCAUCGAGCUAGUUGGGCCGAUCAUAAUAUCCAUAAACGAACUUUUAUUGGUUCUCUUUUGAUUCGAAUUGGGGACGGAAUUCAAAAUUGAGGCAUAAGAUGGUGCGGAUGUGGGCGGUGUAGCAUUUUGAGUCAACGGGGUAAAUUGGGGAUUAUUAGAAAUGAGUGUUGAGGGCAUUCGGGAGGGCUGGUUGUUGGGGUCAGAAAUGGAUUGGGCUUGGGAUUGAUUAGUGGGAAAUGCUAAUGGGACAGGGGGAAGGCUAGUGGGAAACACACAUGGGGGACACAAAUCAUGCGCGGCCGAAAGUGGUUCAUGUGCAUGUGGAGCAACAAGCUGCUGCACGCGUGAAGACUUUUGGGCUGGGAUGUUUGCUCAUGGCUGCUGCACGCGUGGAGACUUUUGGGCUGGGAUGUUUUCUGAUCUUGACUGGAUUCGGUGGUGUUUGCUUGCAUGGGGAGCUGACAAUCGCCGGUCAGCAGCUGCAGCUGGCUGUGAACACUGUUCCGAGUGCGUGUGUGUGAGACUUUUUGGCUCGUGGGGGUUGUUUGUGUAGGAUAUGGUUGUGGCUGACUGGAUUUAACCACGGUGGUUGCAUCUUGAAGAGGUUCUUGAUUAAAUUGGCCAUGAAGCACGGGCUGGUUUUGAGAAUGCAUAGGGGCUGUAACAGCUGGCUGAUCGUCUCCCGAGUGAUCAUGUAUGGCUUGUGUUGGCUGCGGACUAGAUGCUGGAAGCUGGUUUGUGUUAGCUUGUGAAGGCUUGGUUCGAUUUGAAGGUGAUGAUGGCUCGACGGUUGGAAGGUGGUCAUGGCUAGUUAAGGUUGGAGUUUGCUGUUGAAGGGAUGACGAUGGCGAUGGUGGUUGAUUGGCUGUGUUUACGGAAGUUGGUGGCUGUUGGGGUUGGAUGGCUGGCGAUUGGCUUUUAUAUUUUGAACGAGUUUUCCUUUGAGAUCUCCUAAGAAAAGGAAAUUCGUUUUUGGAAGUGAGGGGGAGAAUCGGUGGAGGCUGGCUGCCAUUACCAUCAGCCGGUAAGUUCAUGAUAGCCGGCUCGUGAAGGGAUGGUUGAUUUGCUGCAUCAUGGCAGCCUUCAUGAGACGUUUCUUCUUGUUCACUUACGACAACAGAGGUGGGUAAGGGCUGCCGAAAUUUCGAGAGGAUAGAGGCAGUGGAUGUCGGUGGUUGAUCAGCAUGAUGGUGGAUUGGAGAUGGAGGGUCUGCAUGGGAGUGGUUUGGAGAGAAAUGAUUUGGUUGUGUGGAUGGAUUGAGGUCAUUUUGCCGCUGGAGUGAUUUGAUUCGCGGUGGUGACAGUUGGACGUCAGGCGGUGGAUCAUUGGUGAAUUUUGGGGGUCGUCUAAAUGAUUUCUUAGGAGGGAUCAAACUCCUAAUAAUUCGUUCUUCGGCGGAGAGGGUGUUGACCGGUGAUGACUGGUUGCCAUCACCGGAGGCCGGAGAGGCCAUUAAGGCCGUUUAAGGCUUAGGGGGGGGGCUUGAUAGAUAGUCUUCAAACCAUUUGUUCCGGUCACUUAUUUUUCUAAACAAACCAAUUCACCCAGUUUCCCCUCCAUGACUACUUUUAGCCUCCGUGUGAUUCAAAAUAAUUAACACAGACGUCCUGCGUGUCACAUGUAACGAGCUAAUUCUGUUAAGGCCUUCACUCCAUAGUCUUAAGAUCUCAGUGAACAAUAAAUUCUUCAGAUUCAAAUGGCAAAUGAAUUGCACAACAAGGCAUAAACCCCGCUUGAAGGCAACCCGCUAUAAUUAAUACAUAAAAAGUUCAAUUGCUCAUAAAAGAAAGAUACAGUAAACUAGUGGUAUUGUAGUAUAAACAAUACUGGUUUUUCUAUCUUGGUGGUUUCUUGAUAGUGUUCAAAUAUCAGUCCUCGAAGAAAGAUAGAGGAAAGCUAAAGAAAAAUAAGCUAAUUCAUUAUUGACAUAAUGUGACAAUUGCACGCAACUCUUGGAUGUUUUUAGCCACCGAAAUUUUUAACAUUAAUGAUGAAUUACAAAUAUGUGAAUGAAAACUUAGAAACAAAUUUUUGCUGUGAAAGAAAGUAAAAGAGAGCAGAGAAACAAAAAACAGAGGAUUUCAUUCGUCAUUCAUAACUGAUUUUCCUAGUGCAAAUGCGCAAGGUUGAACAUUCAAAAUCCAUAAUUCUAAAUCAAAAUCACCAACAGACACCUGUACAUGAAAUAUUCAGGCCUUCACUCUGGCCUUAAGACCUCAUGUACGAGAAGUUCGUCAGAUUCAUAUAGCAAAUGAAUUGCACAAGAAGGCAUAAAAAUUAGUAUAUUUUUCAAGAACCGAGCUUGAAAGCAAUGAAAUAAAAAUUAAUACAUAAAAGUUCAAUUACACAUAAAAGAAGGAUAACGGUAAACCAUGGCCAGGCAAGAUCACGGAUGAAAUAUACAAAUUUCACAAGCCAAUAUAAACAACAAUCAGUGCAUGCAUCAAUGAAAGAAAACCGUGGCCACUGCCAAUACGAGUUCAACCAAAGGAUUCAUCUUAAUUGCAGAUUCAUCUUCGUCUUCUCCUCGAUUGGAUGUUAUUGCUAGAUUUUCCUCUGUUCUGGUGCAACUCUUAUUAAUUGUUGGACCACAACGACCCAGAUUAUAACUCUUUUCAUCAAACCUGCCAAAUUGUUUUUUGUCUGGGAUCAGACCAGACAAGUUCUUGUAUGACUCGUUAAAGUUGGAUAAAUAGUUGAUGAGUGAUCUGAAGAUCACCGAUCAGAAAAUUUUUCAUUUAUGUUUGUGUAAAUUAUUCAUAGUAUGGUCUACUAUGAAAUUACAAAAAUAAGCAUAGUAAAUUUGAAUAAAGGAAAGGAAAAUGAGAAGGAAAACAGAGGAAGGCUAAGGACAAAUAAGCUGAUUCAUCAGUAACUCAAGAUCACAACUUUUGGAUGUUUUUAGCCUCCGAAAUUUCAACAAAUAUUCAAGUGAUGUGAGGUUGGUCAAGGUAGAAGGAAAGUUUCCACUUAAUUGAAACUUUGAGCUUAGAUCCAACUCAAAAGGAUUCUUCAAAUUACAUAGUCCUGAACUUGAAAAUAAAAGAUCAAAAUUUUAUAGAAUGAAAACUAAUUAUAGCGAAUUCGAUCAAAAUCCAGUACAAGACUUAGAGAACAGACAAAAAUCAAAUUGCCUAAUUAUUUUGGUCAGCACAAAUAAUAAUAGAGUAAUGUGAACUUAUUUCUCAUAUAAUAUGAUGUUGAUUGCAAAAACGUUUCAAUAAUCUGGAAAAAGGGAAAAAAAAUAAAAUGCCCUCAGCACUUUUUGCUCAUCAUAGCCCGAAGUCCUUCUUGUUUAACAUUAUGAUUUUCUGAGGAAGAAUUUGUUCACUUGAUGUUGUUCAUUGGACAAUGGUUCUGUAACCUCUAAACCUAUUGGAUAAUGUAAAGAGAAAUUCAUAAUAUUUUAGUUGUCUUCUUAAAUAAUAAAUUGUCUCAAAAUACAAUUAAUUUGUCUUAAAUUUAAUUUAUUCCUCAGCAUUCAAAGAAAAACAAAAACAAAAAAAGAAAAAGAAAAACGACCUGGUCUUUAUAUGUAAUUUUGUCCAAGUACUUUGAUCAACAAAUCAUUAGGAAGGUGGUGUAUCAGUGAUGCAAAUAUUUAAUUAUCAUGUUUCAACAUAACAAUUCUGUGUAAAUUGUUCACUUUAUGUUUCUAGAGAACUGUUUAUAUUAUUAUUACUACUCAAAUUCAAUGCUUCCAAGUAUUUGAAUUUAAUUAGCUAAUCCUGUAUCAAGAAUUAAUUAAUGAACAUAAGAUAAAUGUCAUAUUAGUUAGAUUUAGAUUUUUUUUUUCCAGUUUUGAUGUAUAGAUAAAAAUAAUACUUCAAAAGCAUUGAAAUGUAAGAGCUAUUAAAAAAAUGCUUUUCAUUCAAAGCUAUAAGUAAUGAAAUGAAGAUAGAUAUCAUUGUUGAUUUAAAAAAAAUCAGAAAAAAAAAAAGAAAAGAGUGAAAGAAAAGAGCAGGUUAUGUUAGAAAAUAGUGAUAGAGUAUGUUAAGGACUAAAAUUUAUUAAAGAAAGCAGUGGUUCCAUUUGAAAUUUGAUCAAGUUAGAAUUAGUCAAUUAUGCAUCGAGAAUCAAAAGAAUGAAGAAAGGGAAUUCAAAUUAGACUUACAAAAUUAUAAUAAAGUGAUUAGUUAAGAUCCAAUUAAGCAGAUUUACUAAAAAAAAUAUUGAAAAAUAAAGGGCCAUAACAUUGCCAAAAGGACUAGGAAACUAAGUAGGAAGGGCUGAUUGUUGCGGAAUACCUUGAAGUGUAGGUUAUUCCACAACCACGAAGACCAAUUGCUUUCAAGUUUGUCAAAUAUGCCAAUCCUACAACAAUAUAAAGCAAAAUGUUACUAUAAAAUUAUUGUAGAAGAUUGGUAUUUUCAGUAGCUUACCUAGCCUUCUUAAAGCGCCACUUGUUAGAUUUUCAGGUUAGAUCCAACACUUGCAAGUUUCUCAAAUCUGCUAAUCCUACUCAGUAAACAUUAAUUUUGAUCAAAUCAAUAUCCUUGAUUGAAUAUAAAAUUUAUGAUUAAACCAAUAAAAUUUAUUCUACUUGAUUUUUGUACAAUUUUUUUUUCACUUGAUCAGCUGUUUUAUUCCCUUAAAAUAAAUGAAUUAAAAAAAUGUUAAUUGUUUUACGAGUUAAUAAUUUUAUAUUUAUUUAUUUAUUUAUUUUACCUUCUAUUUAUUAGUCUUUUGAAUAAUUUAUAAGAUUUAACAAUUGUAUUAGAUGUAAUAUUUUUAAAAAAAAAACUAUUAGCAUUUAUUAUUUAAUAAAUCUAUUUAGAUAUUUUUAAAAUUUGUUAUUGAUGAUAGAGUUUGGGUCAAUGGUCAACAAUUAAUAGUUACUAUGAUUUUUUUUUCCCUCCCUUUCUAAUUGAUAGAUUUCAUGUGUUCCGAAAACGAAGUUUAAGGAAAAAGAAAAGGAAAAGGAAAAGGAAAAAAAAAUGGCUGUGAGGCCACUUUCCCUGGGUCUUGGUUGCAAUGCGCGCAUGUACACAGGCUGAAGCCAGCAAGAUGGUAUCAUAAGUUAACAAUGAGAACCUUACUCUGAGAACAAGGUAUAAUUUGCUCACAUCAGUUAAAACAUAAGUUAGGUUGUGAUUUAUUGAUUGCACAUUCACCACAGGCACGUAUUGGGAGGAUAUUUAAGCCGAUCAUCAUCUCAGGUAAUCUUUCUUAGGAAUUGGAGAAAUGAAGCUAAAAGAGCACCAAUAAUUUCAAACAUAUAUACCUUGCUUGAUUCUGGAACCUUCAAUGUUAUUGGAACGAAGAUUCAGAGUGGUAAGUGAAGUUAGUGUAUGUUGAGUACAUAAAAGCACCAGGUCGGCCAUACUACUAUUUCCGCCCCAGCAAGGAUCACCUCAGCCAAAUGGUACGAGCAGAACCGGGGGCAACACGAGCCGAGCAGAGACGAAUACUGACCAGAGGCAUAUACCGAGCCGAUACCUGUCCCCCAAGAGGCGGGAACACGAUCUCACAAGAUCGCGGCAGUUGCGCUUUCCCAGAACCGUUGCAGGAGACGCGAGAUCCCACGUUUGCCCAUAAUGCAGCAGUUAGAGUCCCAUGAGGGGCUGCCACGACCCGAAAAAGGUGGGACGAAGGGCAAAAUGGAAACAUGGGGACAGUGGCUAUAAAAGAAGAAGAAAUCGACAAAGAAGGAGACAGAAAAAUUGAGGGAGGGAAAACGCUGCCAAAUUUCAACCAGGCCAUUUUCUUACAAAUCUCUAACAAACUUCUUGAAUCCAAAUUACAUUGUUUUCCCGUGAACACCUUGUGCUAACUUAAGCAUCGGAGGGUUUACGCCGGCAAAACCACCAGAAUCUGGUCGGUCCAAGGGCGAGCAGAUUUCAGCAUCAACAUUUUGGCGCCGUCUGUGGGGAGCUGGAUAAAAAGCUACCACCGAAUUAGUAGUUACCGGAGAAACAGCGAACGAUUAGACAUGGAUGUGCCAAGGAAGGACGCUUUGAGGGAGGAUAACGAAUCGGGGGAGACAAUCACCCUUCGGGAAAUUGCAAAUGAAGCCCGAGAGAGGGUGAUGUAAGAUCGGUUGGAACGAAUGGAGAAGCAAAUGGAGACUCUCGCUACCAUACUGAAUGAGCUGAGAGAUGAGCGGAGAAGGGAUUUCGAAAUCCCCGUGGGGAGAGAUGAUGUUGGAGCAGAACUCAACCUCCGGAGGUGUAGAAUCGAGGAAAUCCCUCCGCCGGCGGACCAACCUUAUGGGGUGCAUCCCCACAGAAGCACUGGUCGGGUUCCUGGAGAACAAGUAGUUGAAGGGAGGAACCAACCUCGCCCCAGGCUAGUACCGGAAGCUGAUGGCCGAGGGGCCAGUGCUGAUGAAGGAGAGUUAAGACAGCGGUUGCAGAAUGUCGAGCAGGAGCGAGAUCAGAUAGCUGCACGUGAUCCUGACCGUGCUGUAGAAUUGGAGGGAGAGGUGCGCAGAUUAGCCAGGAGUUGGCCGAGCAGUUCCGAGGGGCAGUGGCCCCAGAGGACGACAUGAUGGAACUGAUGGGGAUGAAACAGGAGGAGCAUGAAUCCCUUCGAGGAUUUGUAAAACGAUAUCACCGAGCCGUGCUGGAUCUGGGAGCUUUUAAUCACCCGCAGGCGUUGAGGGGAUUAAAAGAAGGUGUAAGAAUCGGUUGACUGUGGUAUAACUUAAGAAGCCCCCUUGUACAGAAUUACUCGUCGGGGUAUGAGCAGGCGAGGCGAGAUAUAGAAAUCGAAGAGGAGAAAUCGGCAAGAAUAAAAAGUGAACAGCUGGACGAGCUGAGGUGAAAGGAACGGAGAGCCCCGACAGGGAGCGGGUCGGGAAAGCGAACUGGAGAAUCUUCAGGGAUGGGCGGAAUAUCAGCUCGGUCCCGCCCUUACCCCAUAGCUCCGAGAGCACAACAGUUCCAACAUAGCCGGGCUCAACCUCCGCGCCCCCUGAUCCCAGAGCGGCAGCAAGAUUUCCGGCAGAUGGCUGCCCACCCCUAUCACAACACUCCCAGAGCAUUACAUGCAACCAAUUCCAGGGCUAGACGACCAGAUCAGUUAGAGACUGUGCCAGCCCGAGGUGACAUUCACGAUAGCCGAGCAGUUCAGCUGGUAGACCAGAGCUUGGCAUAUAGACAGUACACUCCAUUAAAGAUCUCCCUGGAGGAAUUGUAUGAGAGGAUCGAGGGACGAGGCCUGCUGUAUCCUCCAGCCCCAAUAACAAAACCGACUUACCGACGGGAUAAGAGCUGAUUCUGCAAAUUCCACGACACUCACGGUCACACUAUAAGCCAGUGUCGUGACCUGAAGAUUCAGGUGGAGGAUUUAGUGAGGAACCGAUACUUGGACGAGUAUGUAGAUGGAAUGUCCCCUGUCGUGGAAUCACAGUACACACGGGAUGAAGGAGUUGAGAGGGAUCUGGAACGUGAACAGCCGACCAUCCGUGUGAUAGCAGGAGGUCCAACAUUGGCCGGGGAUUCGAACAGAGCACGGAAGAACUAUGGGAGAUACGCCAUGACUGGCAAAGAGGUGCUUCUGAAUUUGCCAGCAGCCAAGAAGGCAAGAGUACGACAAGUUCCCAUUAUGUGGACGGAGGAUGACGAAGAGGGCAUUUUGUACCCUCAUGAGGAUGCACUGGUGAUUAAAGCAUUAGUGGCUAGCACAGAGUUGAGGCGAAUACUGGUGGACACGGGCAGCUCAGUCGAUAUUCUGUUUAAAUCGGCCCUAGAUGAUAUGGGGAUUUCAGACUUAAAGCUGGAGCGGACGAAUACAUCCUUGAAGGGAUUUGGAGGGGGACGAUUAACUCCCAUGGGGGUCAUUGAACUCCCGAUUACUGUGGGGACAAAGCCGUUUGAAAGAACGAUGAUGCUGGACUUUGUCGUAGUAGAGGAAAGAAGUCCUUACCAGAUGAUACUGGGGAGACCGUUCAUGAGGAUAAGCCAAUGCGUAAUGUCCACGCAUUAUCUGGCGCUGAAGUAUAGAAUAAAUGGAGUUGUGGGUGUAGUAAAAGGCGACCAGAGAAUGGCGAGGAGCUGCUAUGCUACAGCGGCCAAGGAAACGCUGCAGGUUACCUCUCUAGAUAGCCGAGGGGAUUCAAAAAAUAGUCGCCAGGAACCUGUUGAGAAGCUGGAGGAGGUUAUUGUAAGCAGGAGUGACCCUAGCAGGGUCACACGUUAUUACAACAAGAACGUACGUGUGAGGCAGUUCCGAGCAGGAGAUUGGGUGCUCAGGAAGGUGAACCAAAAUACCAAGGAUCCUAACCAUGGAGCUCUUAGUCCGAAAUGGGAAGGCCCGUACAGGGUGAUACGAGCAACUGGUCCGGGAGCUUAUAAGUUAGCGUACCGAGAUGGACGAGACGUGAAGAGGUCAUGGAACGCCGAGCAUUUGAAGAAGUAUUUCCAGUAAGCAAAAUACUCUACUAAAUCUUCAAUUUGAUAAGUUAUAUUGGUCAAAUGCAUGGUGGCUUGGUGCACAUGCAUAUGUUUUGUACUUUUGUAACGCAUUCAAAUUUCAAUAAAGAGGAAUUCAGCAUGAAAUCCCCCGGCUAAUAAGCCCAUCAAAAAUCUGCUAAGGCAAGUAAAUGCCUACUUCUGCUCGGUCAACGAAAGACCAGCAACUAAAUUUACGAAGAUUUUACCAAGGCAAGUAAGUGCCUACUUCUGCUCGGUCCACGGAGGACCAGCAGCUAAAUUGACGAAGAUUUUACCAAGGCAAGUAAGUGCCUACUUCUGCUAGGUCCACGGAGGACCAGCAGCUAAAUUUACGAAGAUUUUACCAAGGCAAGUAAGUGCCUACUUCUGCUAGGUCUGCCUACUUCUGCUCGGUCAACGAAAGACCAGCAACUAAAUUUACGAAGAUUUUACCAAGGCAAGUAAGUGCCUGCAUCUGCUAGGUCAACGAAGACCAGCAGCUAAUUUAUCAAAUGCUCCUAAGGCGAGAAAGUGCCUGCUUCUGCUCGGUCAACGAAGACCAGCAGCUAAUUUCUCGAAAGUUUCGCUAAGGCAAGUAAGUGCCUGCAUCUGCUCGGUCAACAAAGACCAGCAGCUAAUCCUACGAAAAUCCUACUAAGGCAAGUAAGUGCCUAGUCCGGCUCGGUCAAGGAAGACCAGCAACCAGUUUUGUCUGCUCGGUCAACGCAAGACCAGCAGCUAACUCUACAAGAAAUCUACUAAAGCAAAUGCCUACUUCGGCUCGGUCAACGAAGGACCAGCAGUUAAUCCUACGAAAGGCAAAACUAAGAUACAAUCUAUGAGCAAAAACCGGACAAGAAAGCAAAUAAAGAGCAUUUAAAAAUCUUUUUAUAAAUGUUCAAUUGUUUACAAAACAAAUGCAAAUCUAGAGUCUAUACAAAAAUAGGCUCAAAGCUUAGCAGAGUCAACGGCUCCAGCGGCUGAAGGAUCAGCGAGCCCGGGAAGUGAGGGAUCAGCAACAUCAGGAGGUGGGAGAUCAGCAAUACCGGGAGGAGGAGGCAUGGACCCUUGACCCAUUUCGAAAGUGCGUCCCCCAGCAUCCCCCUCUUCCACCCCACCCGAAGGAACCUCCACCCGAUCCUGCUCACCCUGCUCCUUAUCUCCCUGGCCGGCCCCAGCCAUAUAUCUCUCCACCCCAGCCUCCAGCUUGCUCAUGUCGAGCUCGGGGUAUUCUUCCGUGAGCACAGACAUGAUGCACUUAUAGCUGAAAGCAACCCCGGAGUCAUACUUGGCAUCCAGCCGAUCAUCCACAUCAGCGGAUUUGCCUUUCUCUUCAGCCAGUUGGUCACUCAGGGAUUUGAUCUCUCCCUCAAGGGCGGUCCUCAGAGUAUCUCUCUCACUUUGAGUAGCCUGAAGAUCGGACUUCAGAUCACCCAACUCGCCCUCAAGCUUGGAGGAAGUGGACUCAGCAACAGCAACUUUCUCCUCAAGCUCCGUAAGCUGCUUGUUCAGCUCGGCCAUUUUUUCCUUGGACCGAUCAGCAGAUUCGGCUUUCUUUUUCAACUCCUGGUUAUCAGCUUGAAGCUUCUUCUCAUGACGCGCGGACCUGGUCUUGUAGCACGAGACCAUUGUGGCCAGCCUGAAGGAGACUCUCUGAACAGAAGCAGCCAACUCGGAGAGGCUCAUGCUCUCGAUCUCCUUCACCAUCUUGGGCCCAACCGACUUUUUAUAAUCCUUCUGAUAUGGGCUCAGGUAGUCACCUUGAUCCCGAGAUGGAAGAGGAGAAGAUCGGUCCCCAGACUGCAAGCUGACCUCAGGACUCUUGUCGGAGGUUUUCUCCCCAACACUCUUACGAGGUGGAGGAGGGGGCAGAGCAGGAACAGGCGCCUUGGAAGGACCAACGCUAGGUUUCUUCGGAGGAGGAAGAGGGUUGCUGGAGCUACUCGGGGCCCGACCACGCUUCCUGCUCAUCGCACUGAGGAUCUUGUUAUCCAUUCCAGCGGCUAUGUCCACUAGCCCCGAGCCGACCAGGUUUGUUGGAGACAGGAGGUCUUGGCAGGUUUGCUGGACACCACUUUCCCCCAGCAAAGAAGAAUUUGUUCUUCCAAUUUUUGCACGAGGAGGGGAAACCGGUGAUUGGCUUUCUCUUCGCAGAACUGGACAUGAAGUAGUACCAGCCCGCCUCCCUUGGGCUGCUCCGCAGCUGAUACAGAUGUUUCACUUCAACAAGGGAAGGCUCCUCCGACCCGCACCUCUCCCACAACACAAACAUUACCAAGAGAACCCUCCACCCGUUCGGGUGUAGCUGACCUGGGGCCAGGUGCAUACCUCCUAAUAUCUUGGCAAAAUAACGUUGCAGGGGCAGCCGAGCUCCUAGUUUAGGCUAUGUAAUCAAUAGGGUAGGAAUCAGCCUCCACCCUAUGGCCAAGAUUCCUUUUCUUAGCAGGUCCACUCGGUCCAGAACUGCUCCCCUCACCAUCACCAACUCCUUCAGGGAUCCCAACCCCACCAAAGCUGUGGUUCUCACCAGAGCCCGAAGCAGUUCCACCUCUAUUCCCUACAAGCUCUGGUUCGGGGGAGGGAGAGACAACCAAGGGGCGUGGGUACUCAAGGGUACCCCUACCAUGGGAAGGACCUACACUACUGGAGGGACCUAAGAAAUCAGUGGGUAUUGACACAUUGAGGCCUGAAUCCCCUGAUUCUUCAUCACCCUCAUCAACAAUUAACUUUCUCUUUCGGUUUGACAUAUCGGAAUCUCAAAAAGAAAACAAAGAAAACUCGAAUAUACGGAUACACAAGGGGGCAACACGGAACCCAAUCAACAACAACCAGAGAAGAGAUUAAAAGCAGUACCUGAAAUGAACUGGCCUUGAUAGCGCUGCCGUGACCGAGAAAAAACCAGCAAGUAGAAGCCUCGGACGCAGGAAGUAUGAGUAAAGUGCAGAAAAUGGGGUAGGUUAACGACGGAGAGACGAGUAACAAAACGAUGACGAUGUGAGUCUAGGGAUUUGAAACGAAAAGGGGGAAAUGAAAGCAUUUAAGUGAUGGAGACGCACCGUACAUCGAGGACAGAUAGCCCGUCGUUUUAAAUUUCAAAUAUGAAGAGUCUGGAGAUGCCACAUCACUAACCGUUACAAGGGGCCAGGAUAGAUGUAAGCCCAGAUAUGCAAUGGACAUGCUCAUUUAGGCCCAUACUCAGGUCGAAAUCUCCCCAGAAGAAAAAUGGUACCUCAGAUCCGUCUCAGUAAACAGAAGACCAGAUGAGAGGCUCCCCGGGUUGGUGAGUUUUGACAAUCAGUUUCUACUCUUCACUCGUUUCACUCGCCAGACCAGAAACUGGGGGACUGGUGUUGAGUACAUAAAAGCACCAGGUCGGCCAUACUACUAUUUCCGCCCCAGCAAGGAUCACCUCAGCCAAAUGGUACGAGCAGAACCGGGGGCAACACGAGCCGAGCAGAGACGAAUACUGACCAGAGGCAUAUACCGAGCCGAUACCUGUCCCCCAAGAGGCGGGAACACGAUCUCACAAGAUCGCGGCAGUUGCGCUUUCCCAGAACCGUUGCAGGAGACGCGAGAUCCCACGUUUGCCCAUAAUGCAGCAGUUAGAGUCCCAUGAGGGGCUGCCACGACCCGAAAAAGGUGGGACGAAGGGCAAAACGGAAACAUGGGGACAGUGGCUAUAAAAGAAGAAGAAAUCGACAAAGAAGGGGACAGAAAAAUUGAGGGAGGGAAAACGCUGCCAAAUUUCAACCAGGCCAUUUUCUUACAAAUCUCUAACAAACUUCUUGAAUCCAAAUUACAUUGUUUUCCCGUGAACACCUUGUGCUAACUUAAGCAUCGGAGGGUUUACGCCGGCAAAACCACCGGCGUCUCUGAUCCGUUUUUGCUGAACGCAGGUCUGGUGAGAGAGGGAAGGGCGAUUCCAACCCCAGUGGUUCGAGUGACAGUUGAUAACACAAACGUUGGUGAUAGAAUCUGGUCGGUCCAAGGGCGAGCAGAUUUCAGCAUCAACAGUGUAUUCAAAUAUGGUAAUAUGCUGUCGUUGAGGAAAUUACCACCAAGAUUUAAGAUCUUCAGAUGUCUCAAACUCCCAAAGCUGUCGUAAGCUUCAAAUGCAUAUGAAUUACUAUCAUUAAUUAGUCACUGACAAAAUAAUUAUGAAUGAGUAAUAUAUACAUAUGCUUGUACCUUUAUUCUCAUAGAAGUCAAGGCACUGCAAUUCUUCGAAAGGGUGAAACAAUGACAUAUUCAGAAGAGAAACUUCAUAAGAAUAAAAGAGUUAUAAUCAGAGUAGUUGAUUUUUUUUUUCUGAUUGAGUGAGAGUUGCGUCACCCGUCGGGUGGUGGCGUUGCACUUAACUCUCUCCCAAUCGUUACAACAAUCAGACGACAUUCCAUCAUCAUCAAAUCAUGAAGAAAGAACUUCGUCAUCAUAUCCAACAUCACUGGCUGAUGCGAAGAAGCUCUUGAUUUCCAACAGAGCAAUCCUCUCUGUUUCCAAGCAUGCUUUGUAUCCAUGUAACUGAAUCAAAGCUAUGCCAAUCCACAAUGACAACUUCAUCAAAAGCAUUUUCAUUAUUAAUAGUAACUGCAAGAGAAACACUCACAAGAUUUACCUGUCAAUUGUUGCUCUCUUGAAUUUUUUCUGGUUCUCUAGCAAAUAUAUGACUUAUAUAUACAAUGGAAAUUUUGUGCAGAAUGAAAAUUUUGCGCAUUUUCACGUGCCCUGUCAAUGAGAAAACAUGCAUUGAUUGAAAAAAGUAAGUGAGAGAAUAUUACCUGUUGAUACAUGUUAUCUACUUGUGAAAUAAUUGAAGAUGCAAAAUGGUUGAUUUCACGGGCCUGGCCUUUGGCAAAGUGAAAUGUUAGCCACACACUUUUACCAGUCCAGUGUCAACAUUUGUAGCAUAAGGAAAUUGCGGCAUCUCAGCUGGAUUUUGAGGGUCGCUAUUUCGUAUAUCAGUCCCAUUAUUUGUUAGUGGGGACUCACACUCUGUCCUAUAAUGGGCUCACAAAUAUUUAACAUAAUUUUGAUAAUUACUUAAACCGCGUGUCCUUGAUAAUUAAAGAAAAAGAGAAGUGAAUGCAGUAAAAGAUACUGAUGGCCGUAAUUAUGCAAAUAAAUACAAGACUUUACAGUAGAUUAGACCACCAAUUGUGCUUUUUCGUCCAAUAAUAAUGCAUCUGCUUUAGCACGAUACGAGUGAACUUAGGCUUAUCUUUCUUUCGCAAUGUAAAUUCUUGCCAAAAAAUACAUGUUAUCUACUGGUGAAUUAGUUUGAUAAAAUAAAGGCUUAAAGUUUAGUUGAGUAAAAUGUUGGCGUAAAGAAAUUAGCUACUGGAAAAUCACCAAAUGCUUGUUAAGGUAAUAUACAAUUGCAAUUGAACAUCAAGUGAUGGAAACAUCAAAAACCCCAUAAAAAAAUUAAACAAAACCAGUUGCAAUGCAAAUAAACAAGUUUUCAGUUAAGAUGGCAGAACUAAUUCCUUCACAAUCAAGUGUGGUUUCUCAAUUUGUUCUAUUUGCCCAAAAAGACAUGGUCAAGUAUCUGAAAGCAUUUUUAUUUAGUUGACUAUUCGAGUUUGAAUUUGGAAUAAGAGGUUAAAAAAUAAGUUUUGUCUUUUCUCACCCCUUUUACCUUUAGAAAAAAAAUUUAAUUUUUGGUCAAGCUGACUUAAGUGCAUCAUGUGCAAAUCACGUGACAUCCUGAGCUACCAUGUAAUUUGGCUUUAUAAGUGUUUUCUGUUUCUGAAAACAAAAAAUAAUAAAAUGGAAAUGCCUUUAGCUUUUGGCUAGACAUUUUCAGAAACGUUUUUCGUGAACAGAAAAAGUUUUUGUAAAGAGGCAUUGAGCGGUCAGGCGCUUGUCGUGGCCUGCGGCCUGCAGUCCUCAACAAUCCUCAUCUGGCCUCUUUAUAAUCCACUUUUAAUAAAAUAUAGAUAAAAAUAGAAAUAUUACUGAUUUCUAGCACAUCAUUCAAAUUAGUUGCUAUUGUAUAUCUAGCUAGUUUUGAACAAAGUAAGUGAGAAUAUUACAUACAUCUGCUUUAGCAAGAUACGAGUGAAUUAAAACAUUUGACCAGAUGAAAGAGAGAAAAGAAUGUUGAAAUAUUGACUUGAAUAUUGUGGUAAAAUGAGUUUGACUUUAGUACCGACCAAAGAAAUAACUGAAGAUGCAAAUUAAUUGGUUAGUUUGAGGUGCAUGGCUAUUGGCAAAGUGAAAUGUUAGCUUUACACUUCACUUGUGAAUGUACAACAACAUUUGCUGCAUAAGGAAAUUGCGGCGUCUCAGCCGGAUUAUGAGAGUUGUUUUCAAAUCCCAUUUCUCUUCUUCGUAUUUGUUCAUUGCCACAACAUUUGAUGCAAAAUUUGAUGACUACUCAAACGCGUUUCCGCAAUAACUAACGAAAGAAAAAGCGAACGAAUAAGCAAGAGAUACUGAUGACAGUAAUCAUGUAAAUGAAUACAAGGCUUUACAAUAUGCUUUCUUUCACAUGUAAUCUGCUGGUGAAAUAAUUUUUAUAAAACAGAGGCUUAAAGUUAAAGCUGAUUAAAAUAUUGGCGUCGAGAACGCUACAUGGAAAAUUCAACCGUGAGCUGCAGUCUGCAGUCCCCAACAAUCCGGGAAAAGGUUGAGGAGGCGCGCCCCUGCACAUUAAUUUGGCAGGUCUGAUGGGAUUUAUAAAUUAAAAUAAUGUAAUUUUAUAUAUUUUUUAAAUGAAAAAUUCAUUGAUGCCGCUGUGCGAUCCAUUGGAUCCUCGCGUGUUGGCUCCACAAGAGUUUCUCCCUAACAAUCUCCAUCAAAGCUCUUUAUAAUCCAUUUUUGAUAAAAGGAUACAUAUAUUUAUUCAAAUAUUAGUAAAAAUAGAUACAAUGCUGAUUUUUAAAUUAUACUUAAAUUAUACUUAAUGAACAUUUAGACCGACCUGUAAAUCUAUGAAUUCAAACUUCCACAACACCAUCAAUUAUUUUUAGCCUGCAUGUUACAUAUAUUUAUUCAAUUAUUUUUAGCCUGCAUGUUUGAUUGUGCUUCUGUUCUAUAGCUUCGUUAUGUUCAUUGAUAUUUUGUUGUUGUGCAGUAGUACCCAGUGUUCUUGAUAUCGCAAUCAUCACCCCAUAUGAAUCACAAGUUGUUCUCAAGGUAUACAUUUAUACUUAUCAUUAAUACUUUUUUGUUUUGCCCUCACCAGCUAUGAUUAGCAUAUUAUUUUUUAAAACUUUAUAAAUAUAAAUGAAUUAUUAAUUAAUCAUCUUUUUUUUUUAAUUGAAAUUUGCUCAAAGGGCAUCUCCACUGACAAGAUACUUGAUGUGAAAAAAUUGUUGGCUUCCAAUGUAGAAACUUGCCACCUCACAAAUUAUUCUCUCUCUCACGAGGUAUAUAUAUUUUAUUAUCUCUCCCCUUUUUUUUUUAAAUUAUAUAGAUUAUGAAAUUUCAUUUUAAAUUAAUGAAAAUAAGUAAAAUGGCUAACUUAGGUUUUGUUGAAGGCUGUAAAUGGUAGAUCGGAUGUCGAUAAGGGAUGGAGCCGCUGCCGACGAGGGCUGAUGUUGCCACCGAUGAUGGGAGUUUCUUCGGUUUGGGAGAGAUGGGUGAAAGAGAGUGUUGGGGGAGAAAUGAGAGAGAGGGGUAUUUUGGUCUCAAAGGUUCUUUUAUGGCUAUUGUUGAUAGAAAUUUGUUUGGGGGGUUAAGAUGGAAAAAAUCAAAACUUUUAUGGUUAUUGGUGUAAAUUUCCCUAAUUUUCAACCAACCGUAAAUUUUAAUCUAUUAAAAAAAUUAGUUGGCAGACAUGUAAACAGAGCAAGAAGGUUUACAGAAGUGUAUUAUUUUAGAAUUAGUAACUUUUUCAUGAAUAAUUAAUAUGAUUAGAGUUUAACAAAAUUAUAUGUAAAGGCUUGUUUAAAGAGUGAAAAUUUUAUUUUUUUCUCAUUUUUUAGUGCUUAUAAUUAAAAUUUAAUCUAGAAGUAUUUUAAUUAUAAAAAAAUUAUUUUCAAAAAUAAGUUUGACGAAUAGUUUAGUGCUAAAAUAAUAAAAGAAAAUAAUAGUUUAGUGCUAUAAUUAUUUUCUACUUAUAAUUAAGUUAAUAUUUAAUAGAAAGAACUAAAAUAAUAAAAGAAAAAAGAAUUUGCCCGGCAAUUCCUUGUUAUUUACAUUUUUGGCACUGUCCUUCGCAGAGGAAUACACCGAGGAAUCUCAGGCCGUGGCACACGUGCGGCAGCUUCUCGACAUCGUCGUGUGCACCACAUGGUUCUCCAAGUCCAGAAACUCCCGAUUGCCGCCACCGUCAGAGUCAUGUGCCAAAAAGAACGGCAGUAGGCCCCACCCGCCUUCACCAAACUCUGCCGCUCUGUCUGAUGGAGCAGCAACAGCAGCAGCAGAUAACCGAAGCGGGCCCCGCGCCACGUCAUCGCCAGUUUCAUCGGCGGUUUCUCCGAGUCUGGACAUGGCGACCAUUCACCCGACGCCGAAACUCUCCGAGUUUUAUGACUUCUUCUCUUUCUCUCACCUCACUCCCCCCAUCUUAAGUAAGCCUAAUUUUCAUUUAUUUAUUUGUCUUCGUUUCUUACAUGGUUGAUCAAAAAAAAAAAAAAAAAAAGAAAGAGGAAAAUGAUAUAAAUAUAUGUGAUUUAUUUGAAUAUGAAAUUUGUUUAUUGAUUUUAAUUUUUAAUAAUUUUGAUUUUGAAGAUUUGAGAAAAUGUGAACGCAAAGAAGGAGAGAAGCGCGACGGUGAUUAUUUUGAAAUUCAGGUACCAUUUAAUAUAAAGUUCUGAUUAUUGUUGUUUGUUGUUUGGGUCGAUCAAAAAAAAAAAAAAAAAAGAGGAAAUGAUAUAAAUAUAUGUGAUUUAUUUGAAUAUGAAAUUUGUUUAUUGAUUUUAAUUUUUAAUAAUUUUGAUUUUGAAGAUUUGAGAAAAUGUGAACGCAAAGGAGAGAAGCGCGACGGUGAUUAUUUUGAAAUUCAGGUACCAUUUAAUAUAAAGUUCUGAUUAUUGUUGUUUGUUGUUUAUGGACUAAUUAAUUGUAGAGUUAUUCAACUUGUUAUUUUUGCUGAUGAAUUGGCCAAUGAGUGUUAAAGAUUUAAUAAUCAUUGUCCGCCAAUUAAUAAGAAUGCAUGAAUUAUUUUCAUGUCUUCGUAAGUAAUGUGAGUAUUUGAAAGCGUGGGAAACUGUAUUUUGUGCUCACAGAUAAAAAUCUGCAAUGGAAAGCUUAUACAAGUAGUUGCAUCAGUAACAGGGUUCUAUACUUUGGAGCCAAUUGCGCCCGGUACACCUCCAUACUUCAAAAAUUAUCUCAAUACCCUAAAAUCAGUUUUUGCCGAAAUUUUCAUUGAUACCCUUUAAAAACGGAUAGGAAAUUACUAAGCUAUCCUCAUUUUAAAACAUUUCAACUCAACGGACGGCACUUCUCCCUUCUCUACUGAAGCAAACAAACACUCAUCUGCUGCAAUUCCCUCCAUUAUCAAACUCAAACAAACAAACACUGCAAUUCCCUCACCGGCAUCACCUCUGCAAUUCCCUCACCGGCAUCACCUCUACAGAAACAAAUAUUCAUUCUCCAUACAUGGUAAAUCGAACUUCAACACGAGUAAACUAAGCUUGAGAAGGGGAAGCUGCCACAACUGAGAAAGAGAAGCCUAGUUCGUCGCUACAUAAUCGCCGGCGAGAGCGGAUCCUUUACUGUAAAAUAGUCAUAAUUUAACUAGUUGAGGUAAGUAAUUCUCUAUAAAUAGUUUUCUUGUUGAUAUUCAGGGGAAAAAACAACAAAAAGUUAGGGUUUAUAUAGAAAAAAUAGAUUAAUUAGUUGCGGGUCUCUCAUUACAUGUUCAAAAACAAAUUUUUAGUUGUUUUACUACAUGCAAAUUGUGAAAAAUUGAUGGAUUGUGCCGAUUAUAAUUUUGUCAUGUAACACACAAUUUGGUCGUGUAAGGUUAUGUAGGAUUCAAGGUUGUGUAUUACACGACCUUCAUGUAUUGCACUUACACGACCUUCAUGUAUUACACGACCUCAAAAUUACACGACUUUUUUCACUGUUGUUAAUUCAUUAUAAUAACUUAGUUGUUUAAAGACUUAAUUUUUGCUAAGAAUUUAUAUUUGUUGCUAUGCAGAAAAUGUCAACGAAAAGUAUUCAGGAAAAAAUGAAAUGUGGCAAACCGAAAGCUGAAAAUUACUAAUUUGUCAUCGUUAGAACCAAUAAGAAUAAUGUGAAGGUUCAUUUUGUUAUUAUUUUUAACUAAGUAUGUUAUUAUUUUUAACUACGUACAAAUUGUGUAAAGUUAUUAAUAUUUGCUGCUGUGCAGAUUCUGACAACAUUUGAUGAUAACCCGAGUAUUGCCACACUUGCGACUGUGUUUUCAACUAGCCUUUGAUUUAAGAGUUGUUUCUAAUUGAUUUCAUGGAUUUAUUAUAUGCAGGCAUUCCUCAUGUAUGCAUGUAUGCUUCGGCAGAGGAAGAAAGCAGUUUGAAGAUAAAAAAAAAAAAAAAACUUUUUAAAUGGUUGUAAUAUGUUUAAUUACGAUAUCCAUUAGUGUAUCAUAUCCAAAUAUUGACAUUGUAAACUGAUAACUUUGUUUAUUUAUAAUAAUUAAUCUCAUCAUUUCUCAAAUUGUCGAAUAUGCAAUUUUUUUUUUUUUUGCUGUAAUUUAUGAACACACGAUUUGAUCUACGUUCAAAAGUAAUGCAAAGCGGGUUUCUAAACUUCAUUCCACUAGCUACUUCCUCUAAGAAAAAUUCCACAUCAUCAUUGGUUUGAAUUGUAACUGGUGGCAUAGGAUCAGAUGUCUUAAGUUUGAACUUCAUUGUGAUUUCGAAUUCCGAAGUAUCUAUAUCAAUAACUUCAACUAUCUUCUCCAUCAAUUCGGCAUAUAUUGUCGAUCGUGGUAUCAUUAUCCCUUUAGCCUUGAAACCUUUGAACUUAUACUCGUCAUUUUGCUCAAUUCAUUCACCAUUGAAGAGAAUAGCUUCAUGUAUUGCACUUACACGACUUCAUGUAUUUCACGACGUUCAUGUAUUACACGACCUUCAUAUACUACACGACCUCAUGUAUUACACGACCUCAAAAUUACACGACUUUUUUUACUGUUGUUAAUUCAUUAUAAUAACUUAGUUGUUUAAAGACUUAAUUUUUGCUAAGAAUUUAUAUUUGUUGCUAUGCAGAAAAUGUCAACGAAAAGUAUUCAGGAAAAAAUGAAACGAGGCAAACCGAAAGUGAAAAUUACUAAUUUGUCAUCAUUGGAACCAAUAAGAAUAAUAAAAAAUAACCUUAGUGACGUACAAUUGGGGAUUUUUCGCAAAUCAUGUUUUGGGCACUUUUUGGACUUGAAUGAGUUUCAGUUUUGUGCCCAGUUGUUGCACAAGUUGGUAUUAAGGCAUAUGCAUUCAUCCGAUAAGGCAAUGUAUUUUAAGAUAGGGAAAAAAGUUUGUCGAUUUUCAAUGUUUGAAUUUGCAUUAGUUACUGGACUGAAUUGUGAAGAAAUUUAUAAACCUAACUUGGACAUUGUUGAUGACGGUGGUCGUGUAUGUGAUGUUUUGUUGGACGGUUGCACAAAGUUCACUAACACAACGCUAGGUCAGAUAUUUGAAGCAACUAAGUCCAAGGAUGAUAUGAAAAUGGUUAAAUUUGCCAUGUUGUACUUUUUGGAGGUUGUAUUACUUGGAAAAGAAUAUAGAUCAUCUAUAAUUAGGGAUCACAUUCUCCACAUUGACAACUUUGAAGAUUUCAAUAAAUAUCCUUGGGGCCGUGUCUGUUUUGAGAACACAUUAGAAAGUAUGAAGAAUGUGAUUGCAAUUAGACAGAAUAGAGAAAGGGCAAAUCCAGACUAUGUCCCUGAAAAGGAGGCAUACAGUCUUCAUGGCUGUCCAUUUGCAGUUCAGGUAACAAAUUGUCAAUAUUGGUUUCGUAGAGAUUAUUAAGAUUAGGAAUAUUAAUUAUUUCUUUUACUUGCACAGGUAUGGGCACUUGAAAUUUUCAGUGAAGUGUGUGAAACUUUUUCCUCGAAAUGUAAGCAUGUCAAAUAUCCAAGAAUUCUAAAUUGGACAAUCACUAAACAUGUUAGCUCUAAUUCGCUUGACUAUUCCAUAUUUGAUAAGAAAAAGGUAAUAACAAACAAUCUAGAUCGUUAGUGUCUUUCUUUUUUUCUUUUUAAUUUAUCUUUGACAUUUAUUAAUUGGCCUAAUUAUUACAGCUUAAGGUACUAGAGAAGUUGGAUGUCGCUGAUGAAAUAGAGGCAUCACAGCCUAAUCUACAAUGGUUUUGGCAAACAAAUUGGCUGCAACAACUUGAAAAUGAUUUUCUUGUUGACUCAAAGAGUAAAAAAUCAGCCACUCCAGUCUCAGAACAGAAAAGUAGCAGUGUUGUGCAGAAAAAUUCUGUGGCCAUGGAAGUUAAAGAGACUAAUAAACGUGCGAAGUGUCAAGUUAUGUCCAUGAAAUGCAAAACGAAUUAUGAACAUGCAAAUUCUGUUGAGGACAAAACUGUAAGUUUUUUUAAUCUUUUAAUAACAAUUUCAUUUUUCAAUUUUUUUUGUUUGCCUAAUAGGCUCUGUCUUGUUCUGCUUGUAAGGGUAAACGUCCUGGUUACAUUGAUAAUUUGAUUUCUUUUAUCGAGGACAAGUUUAAUUGUUUGGAUAAGCGUCUCAAAAAGAUCGAAGAGAAGGUGCAGAAAAUUGACUCAUUGGAGGAGAAUACAGGUGAUGUGAGGGAGAUGAGAGAACAAGUCAAUAAAAUUGUAGACUUAGUGGAGUUCCUAAAUUCAGCGGACUACAAUGUGAAGGUUCAUUUUAUUAUUAUUUUUAACUAAGUAUGUUAUUAUUUUUAUCUAAGUACAAAUUGUGUAAAGUUAUUAAUAUUGCUGCUGUGCAGAUUCCGACAACAUUUGAUGAUAACCCGAGUAUUGCCACACCUGCGACUGUGUUUCCAAGCUUCACCACAAAUGCAGGCAUAGUCAAAGAGGAUCCAAUAAUUAUUCCGUCUACACAGCAAGAGGUGAAAAAAUAUGAAAGAAAAAGGCGAUCUCGAAAGGAUGCAGCUGUUUUACGCACGCCAUCUACUAACCCAUUUCGAAAAUCGCGACAUGUCAACGUCGAUGAAGCAAAACAGCAAGUUCAGUUUGAGCAUUGGCUGAAGGAGGAUAAUAUGGAACCGUAAUUCCUUAUUUCUCUUUGUAAACUUACUUUUAUUUGAAACAAUAUUUCUUGGUUGACUAUAACAAGUAAUAAGUUUUACUCAUAUUUUCUUGGCAGAAGAUUUGGUUGGUCCCUGAAAGAUGAGUUUCAGCAUUUGAGAAAGAUUUCAAUUCUACGUGGGCUUUGCCAUAUAAGGUACUGUCUUUUCGGUUCCUUUGGCAGCCGAUUAUUUUCAAAGCUUGAAUUUUGCUUGUAAACUUCACCCAGGUUGGGUUGGUGUUGGUUCCCAGAGAUUAUGAUAUGGAAUGCCCAAACCCAUUCACGAGAGAUGAUAUUGUCAGCAUGGUUCCUGUGUGCAAGGUAAGACUAUUUUCUCUCUUAAUUGUGUUUUGAUUUAGUUUUUACAUUCUCAAUGAGUCACUCAUUUGUAAAUUGAAUGUAAUUGUGCUAUUUUUAUGGCAUUCUACAGCAUGUAGGUUGCACUUCAGCCGAUGGACGGACCUUAUUAGAGUCAUCCAAAAUUGCCCUUGAUAAAGGAAAACUAGAAGAUGCUGUAAAUUAUGGGACAAAGGUAAUAACCCACUCGAUCUAUACGUAAGAAUUACAUUAUUCUUUUCAUAAUAAGGCAUCUCUUGAUCUCAUAUGAUGUAUUACUUGCAUUGUAAGGCACUGGCAAGGAUGAUAGCUGUUUGUGGUCCCUACCGUCGGACUACUGCAAGUGCUUACAGUCUUCUAGCUGUAGUUCUCUACCAUACUGGAGACUUUAAUCAGGUAUGACAAUCUUCAAUUGUAUUUCAGUGUUAACUUGGUGAUUCUAAGUCUAGUAUAAUUAUAACGUCCUUCUGUACGGGGGUUCUCAUUCAUCGGGACAUUUGAUUUGAAUUUUUGUAUGUUAUGGUUAGUUUUUAUGGUCUUGUAUAAAGAUAUGCAUUAGGAAUUAUAAUUUUCUGGACUUAGGAAUUACAUGUACAGGCAUUAGCAUAAUUUUGAUAUCAGAUUAUAUAUUUUAACUAAAUCAAACACGUUCAUGAUUCUUAUGUUCCAGCAUUUCGUCUAAUGGCAUCUGCGUCUGAGUGUUAGAGUAGUGUUCGUAUGUACUCAAGAUAUCUUCUUCUUCAUUUUAGGCAACUAUAUAUCAUCAGAAGGCAUUGGAUAUUAAUGAGAGGGAACUUGGUCUUGACCACCCAGAUACAAUGAAAAGCUACGGGGAUCUUUCAAUUUUCUAUUAUCGCCUUCAACACAUUGAAUUGGCUCUUAAGUGAGUAGCACUACUUGAUUUACCGGAGCAACUUUGUUUUCAUUCUUUAACUGAUUAAGGUUUAUUUAUUCAUAAAUUAAAUUGGAAGUUUCGAAAAAUGUGACCUUUGCAUUGAAUCUGCUUCGAACGAAUGCAGUUUUUAUCUACCUACUUUAGCUUUUAUUUGUCUUUUAUUGGCUCUAGCUCCUGAUCAUACCGUACCAUUGGCAGAUAUGUAAAUCGUGCCUUAUUCCUUUUGCAUUUUACUUGUGGACUUUCACAUCCAAACACUGCUGCAACAUACAUAAAUGUGGCUAUGAUGGAAGAGGGCAUGGGAAAUGAUCAUCUUUCUCUUAGAUAUUUGCAUGAGGCCCUUAAAUGCAACCAAAGACUAUUAGGAGGUGACCAUAUACAGGUUUUUCUCUCUCUAUUUACGCAUGUAUACACACUCUUUAGAAUUAUAAAUCUUUCUGUAAACUCAGAAUUUUGUUUGAUUUCUUCACGUGACAGACAGCUGCAAGUUAUCAUGCCAUAGCCAUAGCUCUUUCUUUGAUGGAGGCAUAUUCACUAAGUGUGCAACAUGAGCAAACUACACUUAAGAUUCUCCAAGCAAAGCUUGGACUAGAAGAUCUGCGUACUCAGGUGACUACAUGUAGUCAUAUUUUAAUUGGUUCUGUUGUGCAAUUUGGCUAGUUGGCUUCUCUCUUGUCAAUCUUUUACAGGUGAUAUUAUGAUAUAAAACAUAUUGUAUCGGCGGCCUAUUUUGGUGUUAAGUAUGGAUAUGACCCAUUCAUUAAUCGUAUCGAAAUAUCAAAAUACGGAUAUGACCCGUUUAUUAAUCGUGUUGACUUGUUUAAUAUUAAAUACAAACAAAUUAAAAAUUAAUUUAAAAAUAACAAAUGUGUCAAAAAAAUAAGUUAAAAUGACAUAAGUAUGACAUGAAUAAGUUUAUAACAUAAUAUGAGUAUGACAUGAGUCAUUAAUUUAGUGAUUAGUAUAUAUUUUAGUUUUUUUUUCCAAUAAUAUUAACACAUAAUAAUUGAUAUUUAUGUUAUAAACGUAUAAUCAUGUUGAGAUGGUCCAAAACAGAUAUGACCUGGUUAUUUAUCGUGUCGUGUCAACUCAUUUAUUAAUCGUGUCAAUAUUUGUUAACACAAAUAUGGGUCAUAUGUCGUAUUAUGUUGUGUAAUCGUGUCGUAAUCCAUUUUGCUACCUCUAAUCUUAACUGUCAUGAGAGAAUUUCUCAAGUUCCAUAUUAUUGAUGGGAAGAGAUUUUUGUUAUUUUGUUGUAUUUUGUUUUUCGUUUUACAGGAUGCUGCUGCAUGGCUGGAGUAUUUUGAAUCAAAAGCUCUAGAGCAGCAAGAAGCGGUACGGAAUGGAACCCCAAAGCCAGAUGUGUCCAUUGCGAGUAAAGGUCACCUUAGGUAUUAACAGGGUAUUCCCACAUUACUUGUUUCUAAAUUGUUGAUUAUUUCUUGUGGCACCAAGACCUAUAAUGAUCGCUUUUCGCAGUGUAUCAGAUCUCCUGGAUUACAUAGGUCCUGGUCAAGAUUCUAAAAGAAGCGAAGCACAUAGGAAACAACGACGUGCAAAGGUAGUACAUACUUAGUGCAUGUUUAGUAUGACUUAUCUAAUGGUCUUAAAUUUUUAUUUAAUCCUAUAAGCUCUUAUCAAAAUUUUUUGUGUUGUUUAAUUGUUUUUUUAGUAGAGCUCUUGAAAAUUAAAUAAACUAUUUUGCCUCUACUACAAAAAGCUCAAAUUUUGUGCUUUUGAGAAUAGAGGUUAAUUUUUUUUUAAAUGUUAAAUUAUCUAAAAUAUUCUCUAUUUAUAUGACAAUCUUAUUUUAUUCUUUUCAAAACAUAACUUUAAAAAAUUUGCUUAUUAAAGUAAUUUUAUAAUUUUUAAUAAAAGCUCUUAUUGACAACCAAACAACACAAAUUUUUGAGUAAAAACUUUACUUAUAAAAUCUUUACUAGCAGAACUCUACUCAAAUAAGAUCUAUUUGAAAAGCUAUGUGAAAUGAAGCAUUAAGCAUGCUGCUGUUCUCUGUUCCUUUUUUCUUGUGAUGUCCAUCUGAAUGGAUUCUUAAACUAAUUGUAGUUAGGAUUUGGUAUUUUAGAGUACACUCUGCUGGCAUAUAGUUUUGGAUUUGCUGAUUACACGAGUAAACUUGUUGUCCAUGCAAAAUGCAACUAACUAUUGCUGGAUAAUAGUUCUACUUUUCUGAGUGAACUCUGAAGGCACCAAAUAUAAACAUCCAUUUCUACCAUACCCCAACAAAAAGAAAUCUAACAUGCUUAUAUAGAUCACAGACAUGAUUGAAACUUUAGAAGGUUCUGAUCUAUUGAUGGCCAUAGAUUGGGCCAGCUGAUAGUUAGUAGGCAAUGAUGGAGGGUUGCUUGGUCAAGCUGCUAGUUCUUUAGAAAUUCAGAGAUGAUGAGCAGAACGAGUGAUAGUUUUUGUUUUACCCCGUAACCUUGAACAGAGUGAGAAGAAACCAUUAAUUUGAAGUGCAAUGGAUGGAUAUGACGGAUCUAUCAUUUUGGCUAGGAGAUGGAGUUCUUCCAUUCUACUGUUAUUUAAUGGUUGUUAUUAUUGAUUCUAGAAAAACAUUUUUCGAUUUGGCAGUUUGAGUUUUUCCCUUUUUUUUUUUUCCUCAUUUUGUAGGCCUUAGAGAACCAAAUAAUACUACAUAUUAGAAAGACAGGAUUAUUAUGUGCUAAUUUGAAGUAUUACCUGGUUGACAAUUUAAGACAAUAGUAAAGUAUUUCGCUGUGAUUAUUUUUUUUGAGAAUUCCAUGAUUCAAAAGGCUGAAGAAUUUCAUUAGUUUAACAUAAUAUAUAUUAGCAUAAUUUCUCACUGAGUGUUUUUUUCAACAUUUCAGGCAUGUACAUAUCAAAUUCCCAUUUAUGUUCCACUGAAUUCUGCCUCAUGUUAUGUCUGGAUUUGUUGUAAUAAAUUUUGCUAUUGUAAAAUUACAAGAUGAUUGUAACUUAAAAUGAAAUAUUUCUAUUUGCUCAAUUUUUGACAUUUUAUAUGCAUACAAGUUAAAAAGGUUUUGUUUUCUUUUUUUGGUUUAUUUAUUUUUUUCAGGUAAUGCAGAUUAGGGAAAAGAUUCCCCCAACAAAAAGAAAUCUAACAUGCUUAUAUAGAUCACAGACAUGAUUGAAACUUUAGAAGGUUCUGAUCUAUUGAUGGCCAUAGAUUGGGCCAGCUGAUAGUUAGUAGGCAAUGAUGGAGGGUUGCUUGGUCAAGCUGCUAGUUCUUUAGAAAUUCAGAGAUGAUGAGCAGAACGAGUGAUAGUUUUUGUUUUACCCCGUAACCUUGAACAGAGUGAGAAGAAACCAUUAAUUUGAAGUGCAAUGGAUGGAUAUGACGGAUCUAUCAUUUUGGCUAGGAGAUGGAGUUCUUCCAUUCUACUGUUAUUUAAUGGUUGUUAUUAUUGAUUCUAGAAAAACAUUUUUCGAUUUGGCAGUUUGAGUUUUUCCCUUUUUUUUUUUUCCUCAUUUUGUAGGCCUUAGAGAACCAAAUAAUACUACAUAUUAGAAAGACAGGAUUAUUAUGUGCUAAUUUGAAGUAUUACCUGGUUGACAAUUUAAGACAAUAGUAAAGUAUUUCGCUGUGAUUAUUUUUUUUGAGAAUUCCAUGAUUCAAAAGGCUGAAGAAUUUCAUUAGUUUAACAUAAUAUAUAUUAGCAUAAUUUCUCACUGAGUGUUUUUUUCAACAUUUCAGGCAUGUACAUAUCAAAUUCCCAUUUAUGUUCCACUGAAUUCUGCCUCAUGUUAUGUCUGGAUUUGUUGUAAUAAAUUUUGCUAUUGUAAAAUUACAAGAUGAUUGUAACUUAAAAUGAAAUAUUUCUAUUUGCUCAAUUUUUGACAUUUUAUAUGCAUACAAGUUAAAAAGGUUUUGUUUUCUUUUUUUGGUUUAUUUAUUUUUUUCAGGUAAUGCAGAUUAGGGAAAAGAUUCAUGGAGCACAUCAUGAUAUGAUGGUGGAAGAUGCACUGCCCAAUGAUGGAUUGAAAAAAAGUAUGACUAUAGUGGAAAGCAAGACCGAGGAGGUAAUAGAAGACCGUGUUCAACCUGAAGAGCCAGAAGAGAAUGAUGAUAUUACUAGAUAUGGACCGGCAAUUUCAGGUGAGUUUGUGGAAGAAACAAAUUCAGAUGAGGGGUGGCAAGAAGCCAAUCCAAAAGGUAGGUCAGGAAAUGCUGCUGUUCGGAAGCUCAGCCGGAGGCAACCUGUUCUUACAAAGCUAAAUGUCAAUGGUUGUGAACAUUCAAAUCUUAGAGAAAAAGGCAAUAGACGGGAAAUUGUAUCUCCAGUACGGGAAAAAGCUUCAAGGACCACCACCACUGAGUUAACAGGCAUAAAGGAUUCAAUUAAACAGGUGAGUUUGUGGAAGAAACAAAUUCAGAUGAGGGGUGGCAAGAAGCCAAUCCAAAAGGUAGGUCAGGAAAUGCUGCUGUUCGGAAGCUCAGCCGGAGGCGGCCUGUUCUUACAAAGCUAAAUGUCAAUGGUUGUGAACAUUCAAAUCUUAGAGAAAAAGGCAAUAGACGGGAAAUUGUAUCUCCAGCACGGGAAAAAGCUUCAAGGACCACCACCACUGAGUUAACAGGCAUGAAGGAUUCAAUUAAAUUGCAGGCAAAAGCUUCUGUCUCCAAAGUUUAUGCAAGUCCACCAAACCUUACUGCCAUGGCUUCCAAGUCGCUGUCUUACAAAGAAGUAGCUGUGGCACCUCCAGGUACGGUUCUAAAGCCAUUACCAGAGAAACCGGAUGAAGAAAUUGAAGAAAAAACUGAAACACAGAUGUGCAGUAAUGCUCCUGAGACAUCAAAGGCGGAGUUGAAUAACCAUUUCUCUCCCGUUGAAGAUGCGCCAGUUGAUGGUCAGUCUCAAGAAACUCAUGGAAGUGUAACUCAAUCUGAAACUACUGCUGCAGAUACCGAGGAAGUUCCUUCUUCUUCUAAUGAGGAAAAGCCCAUGGAAACAAAUGGGAGUAAGCUUUCUGCCACAGCUGAACCAUUCAACCCAGGAGCUGUCUCCAUGACUCAUCUGCUAAACUCUGUAGCAGCCACGAGUAUUUAUGAUGCGAGAACUAGUCAAGGUAUGCUUGCAGAACCUGCUGUACCUUCGGCUGCUGCUAGAGUUCCUUGUGGGCCAAGGUCGCCUCUCUAUUAUAGAAAUAAUUAUUCUUACAUGAUGAAACAUGGAUUUCCAAAAUACCACUCUUCCAUUAUGGAAAGAAACCUGUCGGGGCCUUCAAGAAUAAUGAACCCGCAUGCACCCGAGUUUGUGCCAAUGAGAGGUUGGCAAAUAAAUCCUGGAUAUGCAGAUUCAAAUGUUUCAAAUGAGUCGAACUCUUCAAAUGACACAAGUGAGGCAGACGAUGAGAAACUUGACAAAAUGUCCAGUAUUCAAGGCGAGGAUAAUACCUCAAGAAAGAGCAGUACAGAGGCGGAGAAGUCAGAGCUGGCAAGACAGAUACUACUUAGCUUCAUUGUAAAGUCAGUCCAGCAUAAUAUGGAUGCUCCAAGUCAUUCUUCAGGCUACGAAAAGAAGAUUGG
RNAcentral lists this long non-coding RNA (41318 nucleotides) under Citrus sinensis (sweet orange). RNAcentral describes it as "long non-coding RNA (CSIN_LNC004358)". The record is from RNAcentral. Lineage: Eukaryota; Viridiplantae; Streptophyta; Magnoliopsida; Sapindales; Rutaceae.